GGAUAUAAAGAUCCUAAAGGCACCUGAUCCCAUCUGAUGUUGGAAGCUAAGAAACCCACAUUAGUACUGGGAUGGGAGACCACCAAUGAAUACAAGGUACUGUAGUCC
Molecule: ribosomal RNA, 108 nt
Filed under: Anolis carolinensis (green anole)
Lineage: Eukaryota; Metazoa; Chordata; Lepidosauria; Squamata; Anolidae
Source: RNAcentral